AGUGAACGCUGGCGGUAGGCCUAACACAUGCAAGUCGAACGGCAGCACAGUAAGAGCUUGCUCUUACGGGUGGCGAGUGGCGGACGGGUGAGGAAUACAUCGGAAUCUACUUUUUCGUGGGGGAUAACGUAGGGAAACUUACGCUAAUACCGCAUACGACCUACGGGUGAAAGCAGGGGAUCUUCGGACCUUGCGCGAUUGAAUGAGCCGAUGUCGGAUUAGCUAGUUGGCGGGGUAAAGGCCCACCAAGGCGACGAUCCGUAGCUGGUCUGAGAGGAUGAUCAGCGCCACUGGAGGUGAGCGACGGCCCAGACACCUACGGGCGGCAGAAACGCGGAAUGUUGGAAACUGGGGGCAAGCCUGCGCCAGCCACACCGCGUGGGUGAAGAAGGGCUUCGGGUUGUAAAGCCGUUUUGUUGGGAAAGAAAAGCAGCAGGAUAAUCCCCCGCUGUUCUGACGGUACCCGAAGAAUAAGCACCGGCUAACUUCGUG
RNAcentral lists this ribosomal RNA (492 nucleotides) under uncultured bacterium. RNAcentral's name for it is "partial 16S ribosomal RNA". It matches the Rfam family "Bacterial small subunit ribosomal RNA", at positions 29 to 507 of the family's 1533-position model. The record is from RNAcentral.